AUUGAACGCUGGCGGCAUGCCUAACACAUGCAAGUCGAACGGUAACGCGGAGAGCUUGCUCUCUGGCGACGAGUGGCGGACGGGUGAGUAAUACUUAGGAAUCUGCCCAGUAGUGGGGGACAACAUUCGGAAACGGAUGCUAAUACCGCAUACGCACUACGGUGGAAAGCGGGGGAUCUUCGGACCUCGCGCUAUUGGAUGAGCCUAAGUCGGAUUAGCUUGUAGGUAGGGUAAUGGCCUACCUAGGCGACGAUCCGUAGCUGGUCUGAGAGGACGAUCAGCCACACUGGGACUGAGACACGGCCCAGACUCCUACGGGAGGCAGCAGUGGGGAAUAUUGGACAAUGGGCGCAAGCCUGAUCCAGCAAUGCCGCGUGUGUGAAGAAGGCCUGCGGGUUGUAAAGCACUUUCAGUAGAGAAGAAAAGCCGAAGGUUAAUACCCUUCAGUCUUGACGUAACCUACAGAAGAAGCACCGGCUAACUCCGUG
This 488-nucleotide ribosomal RNA is filed under the name uncultured bacterium. RNAcentral describes it as "bacterial SSU rRNA". It matches the Rfam family "Bacterial small subunit ribosomal RNA", at positions 30 to 507 of the family's 1533-position model. The record is from RNAcentral.